This is a long non-coding RNA of Cebus imitator (Panamanian white-faced capuchin), 171 nucleotides long. RefSeq lists it as uncharacterized. The record is from RefSeq and is a predicted model, not a curated record. The transcript is spliced from 3 exons. Lineage: Eukaryota; Metazoa; Chordata; Mammalia; Primates; Cebidae.
AUUGGAAGUAAAACACUACUCAGCAAAGGCAAAAUAAUUGAAAUCAUAAGAAGCAGUCUCUUAGACCAUAGUGCAAUCAAAUUAGAACUCAGGAUUAAGAAACCUACUCAAAACCACAUAACUACAUGGGAACUGAACAACCUGCUACUGGAUAAGUACUGGGUAAGUAAC